Molecule: long non-coding RNA, 184 nt
Organism: Alosa sapidissima (American shad)
Lineage: Eukaryota; Metazoa; Chordata; Actinopteri; Clupeiformes; Clupeidae
Exons: 3
Source: RefSeq, a predicted model, not a curated record
AGGGGUGGUCUGCAAGUGCAGGGUGGAGGUUGGACUGGAGGUCAGGCAGUGCAGACUGGAUGUCAGGCAGUGGAGGCUGGAGGUCAGGCUGUGCAGACUGGAGGUCAGGCUGUGUUGAGCAUAGGUCAGGCUGUGCAGACUGGAGGUCAGGCUGUGUGGAGCGGAGGUCAGGCUGUGUAGAGCA